This 468-nucleotide ribosomal RNA is filed under the name uncultured bacterium. Its description in RNAcentral is "partial 16S ribosomal RNA". It matches the Rfam family "Bacterial small subunit ribosomal RNA", at positions 28 to 507 of the family's 1533-position model. The record is from RNAcentral.
GACGAACGCUGGCGGCGUGCUUAACACAUGCAAGUCGAACGGUCAUGCUCCAGCUUUCUGGCGUGGAUCAGUGGCGAACGCGUGAGUAACACGUGUGCAACCUGCCCCAGACUCUGGAAUAAGCGCUGGAAACGGCGUCUAAUACUGGAUACGAAACUGGCCCGCACGGGCAUGGUUUGGAAAGUUCUUUGGUUCUGGAUGGUCUCGCGGCCUAUCCGCCUGUUGGUGAGGUAAUGGCUCACCAAGGCAACGACGGGUAGCCGGCCUCUGAGGGGUACCGACCACAAUGAGACUGAGACACGGCGCAGACUCCUACGGGAGGGAGCAGUGGGAAACAUUGCGCAAUAGGCGAAAGCCUGGUGCAAAGACACCGCGAGGGGGAUGACGGCCUUCGCGGUGAAAACAACUGUCGACCGCCAAGAAGCGAAAGUGACGGUACCUGACGAAGAAGCAUCGGAUAACUACGUG